UUUUCAGUAUAAUACUGUAGACACACGUUGAACACACAAAUAUUUCAACUGCUCUGGAACUGAAUUUAAAAUUAAACACACUUAUCGUUUCUCUCAAACAAAACACUCGAGCGUAAUGAACACCGAUCUCAAAUUGGUGCGCAAAACGCGCAACACAACGCGCUCCGCUUCCAGCACAGAGAUCACCGCCCACGGAUCGCCGAUGGAUCCAGUUGCUCCUGUGAUAAAGAUGGUCAGUUCGGCUGUCAAACAUCCGCUGGAGCACACCUGGACGCUCUGGUACUUGGAGAGCGAUCGCUCCAAGUCCUGGGAGGAGCUGCAAAACGAAAUCACUAGCUUCGACAUGGUCGAGGACUUCUGGAGCCUGUACACCCACAUCAAACCUCCAUCGCAGAUCCGAUUGUGCAGCGAUUAUUCUUUGUUCAAGAAGGGCAUACAACCCAUGUGGGAGGAUGAGGCCAACAAGUUUGGCGGACGCUGGGUAAUCACUACGAACCGUCGCAGCAAGCUGGAGCUGGACAAGCUCUGGCUGGAUGUGAUUCUAAUACUGAUUGGCGAAGCCUUCGAGCACACUGAAGAAAUCUGCGGCGCUGUCAUCAACAUGCGUGGCAAGCAAAGCAAAAUUUCUGUUUGGACUUGCAAUGGACAGAACGAGUCGGCAAUCGUUCAUAUUGGACUGAAGCUGCGCGAAUCGUUGAAACUGCCGCCGCUCCAGAUGAAGUACCAGCUGCACAAGGACUCGAUGACCAAACAAGGAUCGACGGUCAAAUCGGUUUACUCCCUCUAAACCAGCCGGCCGGUCGGCCUACCCAGUGGCUAAUGCCACUACCCGAAAAUUUUUGGUCUAAUUUUCGAAUUUCUGUGCGGUGUGCGUCCCGAGGGCUCCUUGGGCGCGGCUCUCUUCACGCUCCACAAAAUGUUAUGCAAACAUAUGCCGCACCGGAGCGCAAAUAAAAUGGUUUAUAUCCA
Molecule: RNA transcript, 969 nt
Organism: Drosophila pseudoobscura
Lineage: Eukaryota; Metazoa; Arthropoda; Insecta; Diptera; Drosophilidae
Gene: eIF4E4
Gene name: eukaryotic translation initiation factor 4E4
Exons: 5
Source: RefSeq, a predicted model, not a curated record